RNAcentral lists this ribosomal RNA (460 nucleotides) under uncultured bacterium. RNAcentral describes it as "partial 16S ribosomal RNA". It matches the Rfam family "Bacterial small subunit ribosomal RNA", at positions 338 to 795 of the family's 1533-position model. The record is from RNAcentral.
CCUACGGGGGGCUGCAGUGAGGAAUAUUGGUCAAUGGACGGAAGCCUGAACCAGCCAUGCCGCGUGCAGGAAGACGGCCCUAUGAGUUGUAAACUGCUUUUGUACAAGGGUAAAUCUGAAUACGUGUAUUCAGCUGAAAGUACUGUACGAAUAAGGAUCGGCUAACUCCGUGCCAGCAGCCGCGGUAAUACGGAGGAUCCAAGCGUUAUCCGGAUUUAUUGGGUUUAAAGGGUGCGUAGGCGGAUUGAUAAGUUAGAGGUGAAAUGUCCGAGCUUAACUCGGGAACUGCCUCUGAUACUGUUGAUCUAGAGAGUAGAUGCGGUAGGCGGAAUGUAUGGUGUAGCGGUGAAAUGCUUAGAGAUCAUACAGAACACCGAUUGCGAAGGCAGCUUACCAAUCUAUAUCUGACAUUGAGGCACGAAAGCGUGGGGAGCAAACAGGAUUAGAUACCCUUGUAGUC